Molecule: transfer RNA, 86 nt
Filed under: Bacillota bacterium
Lineage: Bacteria; Bacillati; Bacillota
Description: tRNA-Leu
Rfam family: tRNA
About the family: Transfer RNA (tRNA) molecules are approximately 80 nucleotides in length. Their secondary structure includes four short double-helical elements and three loops (D, anti-codon, and T loops).
Source: RNAcentral
GCGGAUGUGGUGGAACGGCAGACACGCUAUCUUGAGGGGGUAGUGGGCAACAGCUCGUGCGGGUUCAAAUCCCGCCAUCCGCACCA